GGGGCUAUCGUAUAAGGGUAGUACUAAAGAUUCUCAGUCUUUCAGCCGGGGUUCGAGUCCCCGUAGCCCUA
This 71-nucleotide transfer RNA is filed under the name Enterococcus sp. RNAcentral describes it as "tRNA-Glu". It matches the Rfam family "tRNA". From Rfam's summary of the family: Transfer RNA (tRNA) molecules are approximately 80 nucleotides in length. Their secondary structure includes four short double-helical elements and three loops (D, anti-codon, and T loops). Lineage: Bacteria; Bacillati; Bacillota; Bacilli; Lactobacillales; Enterococcaceae. The record is from RNAcentral.